AGAGACCCAUGAGGAGUCUCUUGCCACUGGGACUGACUCUGCCUGGGACCCAGAGACCAGAAAUGGUGAAUGUCUUUGGCAGAGCUGCUGGAAGAAAUGUGAGGCCUGUGACUCAUCAUGAAAUCCCAAGAAGGUUUCACUACUUUACCAACUGAGAAGUUCUCAUAGGUGGCUUUAGAGAAGAGCGUUUCUUCUUGUGCAAAUAGAAUCCUUCUACUGAGCAGUCUUCUAAAGCAGUCAUCUCAAAAA
Molecule: long non-coding RNA, 249 nt
Filed under: Homo sapiens (human)
Lineage: Eukaryota; Metazoa; Chordata; Mammalia; Primates; Hominidae
Description: HSALNT0120402
Source: RNAcentral